AGUGAACGCUGGCGGCGUGCUUAACACAUGCAAGUCGAACGAGAACGGAAUAUAGCUUGCUAUAUUUGUCAGCUAAGUGGCGCACGGGUGAGUAAUGUAUAGAUAACCUGCCCUUAAGAAAGGAAUAACAGUUAGAAACGACUGCUAAUGCCCUAUAUGCCUUUAAUACAUAAGUAUGCAAGGGAAACGCUUUAGUGCUUAAGGAUGGGUCUGUAUGGUAUCAGCUUGUUGGUGAGGUAAUGGCUCACCAAGGCUAUGACGCCUAACUGGUUUGAGAGGAUGAUCAGUCACACUGGAACUGAGACACGGUCCAGACUCCUACGGGAGGCGGCAGUGGGGAAUAUUGCACAAUGGACGAAAGUCUGAUGCAGCAACGCCGCGUGGAGGAUGACACAUUUCGGUGCGUAAACUCCUUUUAUAUAGGAAGAUAAUGACGGUACUAUAUGAAUAAGCACCGGCUAACUCCGUGCCAGCCGCCGCAGUAA
This 485-nucleotide ribosomal RNA is filed under the name uncultured bacterium. RNAcentral describes it as "partial 16S ribosomal RNA". It matches the Rfam family "Bacterial small subunit ribosomal RNA", at positions 29 to 523 of the family's 1533-position model. The record is from RNAcentral.